AAAGAUCUAUAAAUAAAAAAUUCAAUCGUUUUGCCUAUGCUGUGAAGAAAUCGGAAGAAUCAAUUUUCUGGCAUGUCAGUGGCUGGAGAGGCCGUAGAGCAUGUGAAUUUUCCAGCAAUGGCAACAAAGGACCGGUCCGGAUGUUGUAACCCGGUGAAGAAGGCCGGCCCGGUUUCGUUGGACCAUGUGCUAUCAGCUUUAGGUGAGACCAAGGAAGAGAGGGAGUCGAGAAUCAGAAGCCUGUUUAGUUUCUUCGAUUCUGACAAUGCGGGGUACUUGGAUUAUGCGAAAAUUGAGAAGGGUUUGUCUGCUAUGCAAAUUCCAGCGGAGUAUAAGUUUGCUAAAGAAUUAUUGAAUGGUUGUGAUGCCAAUAAGGAUGGAAGGGUUGAUUAUCAGGAGUUUAGGAAAUACAUGGAUGAUAAGGAAAUGGAGCUGUAUAGGAUUUUUCAGGAUAUUGAUGUGGAGCAUAGUGGAUGCAUCUUGCCAGAGGAACUAUGGGAUGCCCUUGUAAAUGCUGGAAUAGAAUUAGAUGAUGAUGAACUUGCACGAUUUGUGGAACACGUGGACAAGGAUAACAACGGAAUUAUCACUUUUGAGGAGUGGAGGGAUUUUCUUCUACUCUAUCCACAUGAGGCCACCAUUGAGAAUAUUUACCAAUACUUGGAGAGGGUAUGUCUUGUAGAUAUUGGGGAGCAGACAGUCAUACCGGAAGGCAUCAGUAAGCAUGUUCAUGCAUCCAAAUACCUGAUUGCAGGGGGAGUUGCAGGAGCUGCUUCGCGUACUGCCACAGCACCUCUUGAUCGCGUUAAGGUCAUUUUACAAGUGCAAACAACUCAUGCUUCAAUUGGUCCUGCAGUCAAAAGCAUAUGGAAGGAAGGUGGUCUAUUGGGGUUUUUCCGUGGCAAUGGGCUAAAUGUGUUGAAGGUUGCACCAGAAAGUGCAAUUAAAUUUUACGCAUAUGAAACCUUGAAAAAUGCUAUUGGUCGUGCCAGGGGUGUUGAAGAUCAGAGAGACAUAGGAACUUCUGGGCGUCUUGUGGCUGGUGGAAUGGCAGGUGCAAUAGCACAAACUGCUAUAUAUCCCAUGGAUCUUGUUAAAACUCGGUUACAGACUCAUUCAUGUGAGAGUGGAAGCGUUCCUAGUCUGCGAAAACUAUCAAAAGAUAUUUUUAUACAAGAGGGACCUCGGGCAUUUUAUAGAGGAUUGGUACCAUCUCUGCUUGGAAUCAUCCCUUAUGCAGGCAUUGAUUUAGCUGCAUAUGAAACUUUAAAGGAUUUGUCAAAGGUUUACAUUCUUCAUGAUAGUGAAGCCGGCCCUCUUGUGCAACUGGGAUGUGGGACUAUUUCAGGAGCCCUGGGAGCAACAUGUGUUUAUCCUUUGCAGGUUAUUCGGACCAGAAUGCAAGCUGAUUCUGCAUACCAAGGUAUGGCUGAUGUGUUCCGAAAAACAGUUCAGCGUGAAGGCUUCAGGGGAUUCUACAAAGGACUUUUUCCAAAUCUUUUAAAAGUUGUGCCAGCAGCAAGCAUAACCUAUCUUGUGUACGAAUCAAUGAAAAAGAGUCUAGAUCUUGAUUAGCUGACAUAGAGUCAGCAGCAGAUUUCAGGUUCAAACUGCUGAUGAAGAUGAUGAUGAUAAUGUGACAUUAAAUAAGAUAAAUUUAGCUCAUUGGUGAUAUGAUUAUCAAAAUCAUACACCUGAUUUUUGACUCCCCAUUGGUUAUCGAUAUCGGCGGGGUUAUAGUUAUAGAGUUUU
This 1752-nucleotide unclassified non-coding RNA is filed under the name Hevea brasiliensis (rubber tree). The record is from RNAcentral. Lineage: Eukaryota; Viridiplantae; Streptophyta; Magnoliopsida; Malpighiales; Euphorbiaceae.